CCUACGGGAGGCAGCAGUGAGGAAUAUUGCGCAAUGGGGGAAACCCUGACGCAGCGACGCCGCGUGAGUGAGGAAGGUUUUCGGAUCGUAAAGCUCUGUCAGAAGGGAAGAAAUGCUGCAUGGUUAAUACCCAUGCAGUUUGACGGUACCUUCAGAGGAAGCACCGGCUAACUCCGUGCCAGCAGCCGCGGUAAUACGGAGGGUGCAAGCGUUGUUCGGAAUUACUGGGCGUAAAGGGCGCGCAGGCGGCCUGAUAAGUCAGAUGUGAAAGUCCACGGCUCAACCGUGGAAGUGCAUUUGAAACUGUCUGGCUUGAGUAUCGGAGGGGAGUGUGGAAUUCCCGGUGUAGAGGUGAAAUUCGUAGAGAUCGGGAGGAACACCGGUGGCGAAGGCGACACUCUGGACGAAUACUGACGCUGAGGCGCGAAAGCGUGGGGAGCAAACAGGAUUAGAUACCCUGGUAGUCCACGCCGUAAACGAUGUGAACUAGGGAUAGGGGGUGUUGAUCCCUUCUGUCCCGCAGCUAACGCAUUAAGUUCACCGCCUGGGGAGUACGGUCGCAAGAUUAAAACUCAAAGGAAUUGACGG
This 588-nucleotide ribosomal RNA is filed under the name uncultured delta proteobacterium. RNAcentral's name for it is "bacterial SSU rRNA". It matches the Rfam family "Bacterial small subunit ribosomal RNA", at positions 338 to 916 of the family's 1533-position model. Lineage: Bacteria; Deltaproteobacteria. The record is from RNAcentral.